AGUGAACGCUGGCGGUAGGCCUAACACAUGCAAGUCGAACGGCAGCACAGUAAGAGCUUGCUCUUACGGGUGGCGAGUGGCGGACGGGUGAGGAAUACAUCGGAAUCUACUUUUUCGUGGGGGAUAACGUAGGGAAACUUACGCUAAUACCGCAUACGACCUACGGGUGAAAGCAGGGGAUCUUCGGACCUUGCGCGAUUGAAUGAGCCGAUGUCGGAUUAGCUAGUUGGCGGGGUAAAGGCCCACCAAGGCGACGAUCCGUAGCUGGGCUGAGAGGAUGAUCGGCCACACUGGAACUGAGACACGGUCCAGACUCCUACGGGAGGCAGCAGUGGGGAAUAUUGGACAAUGGGCGCAAGCCUGAUCCAGCCAUACCGCGUGGGUGAAGAAGGCCUUCGGGUUGUAAAGCCCUUUUGUUGGGAAAGAAAAGCAGCAGGUUAAUACCCCGCUGUUCUGACGGUACCCAAAGAAUAAGCACCGGCUAACUUCGUG
Molecule: ribosomal RNA, 492 nt
Filed under: uncultured bacterium
Lineage: Bacteria
Description: partial 16S ribosomal RNA
Rfam family: Bacterial small subunit ribosomal RNA
Source: RNAcentral